Long non-coding RNA from Balaenoptera musculus (blue whale), 3649 nucleotides. RefSeq lists it as uncharacterized. The record is from RefSeq and is a predicted model, not a curated record. NCBI's taxonomy places the organism in Eukaryota, Metazoa, Chordata, Mammalia, Artiodactyla, Balaenopteridae. The transcript is spliced from 3 exons.
GGAGAGGAAGCAAGAGUCAUACUGGGGAGGGGUCACCCACCCGAACCGGCCCCCACUUGGCUCCCUGGGCCCCUUCGAUAGUCCUCGCUGAGGUCGGUGCUAAGGACACCCUCUUAACAGGUGGGGGUAAAUCCAGAGAAGCCAGGAGGGCAGAGGCGGGGGUCUCCUUCCCCCCACCUCUCCCAGGCCCCCGCUUAAUCCUCAUGGCCACCUGCCCAGGCUGCGGGUGAGUGGUGGGGCCAGGCCAGCUCUGGAUGUGUGCCUGUCAGCAAGCGCCACAUUCAGGAAUGGCAGCCACCCUAACCAUCACUGCAGCAAGGCCACAAGAGCACCAGCGCCUGACGCCUCGGGCUGGUUUGCGGGGCUUCUGCACGUGCAUAUCCGGUGUGGCACCUGCCCGGGGCCAUGCCGCACAAGCCCUCCAGGGUCCUCAGACGGCUGGCGCCCCACCCAGCAGCCCCCUCGGCCUUCCCGAAGGGCAGAGGUCUGAAGCACGAGAAGGCUGGAAGUGCGGAGUGACCCCACCAUCUGCCACCCCACACACCAAAUUCCUGCUCCAGAGAUGUGGCCGGGUGCCCAGCCGGAUGGAGGAAUGUGCCGGAGAAGCACAGGCCUGAGGGGCGUCCCAGAGAAGUGGGGGGCGCCAGGGACCCCAGGAGGAGCCCCCGCCUUGGCCUCCCUCCCUGCCCGGCCCGUCUCCAGCGUCCAGUGAGGGGAAGUUCUGUGGGACCUGACCUGAGGCCUCACCACCUCCACGUCCUGGGAGCCUUCUCGUGGAUCCAGGCCCUGGGAGGCGGAGCCCCCUUUCCAAACUGGAAUCAGGACUUGUCUCCGCACCCCACCCCCAGCUCCUCAAGGGCCUUUCAUUCUGGAUAAACAAGCCCUGCCUGGCUGGCCUUGAGGCCUGGCCUCUCCUCCUGUUUUUCUAACUGGUUUAUAUUAGCGCUGGUGGCCUCCUUCCCAGCCCUCCUCCCUCCUCUGCGCCCCCGCCCUUGUCUGUCUCUCUCCAUAGGCCUCGACCGCUCUAUUGCUCCAUCUCGGGCCUCUGUUCCUGCCUCUGGCGGCCAGGCUGUCUGUCCUCCACAGAGGGAAGGUGUCCAGGCAGGGCUGAAGGGAGGCAGAGACGGCCCAGGUCCGGCCCCUCAGUCUGCAAGGGGAGUGGGGUCAGCUCCCAGCGCUGAGCUAGGAGCCUGGAAGCACCCGGGCCACACCCUAAACUCCCUGCAGAGCCCUCCCUGUCUCAGCCCUGCGUGGAGGUGGGUGGAUUCCUGGCAUCGCAGAUCCAGCCCUCGGCUCAGCCCCCGUGCAGAAGUCUGAAGGAGGAAGCACACUCCUGGCACCCCUGGGCAAGGAUGGACAGGGCAGGGGAAGGCUGCAAACCCCUCCUCCCUGCCCCAUCCUGUUCCCUCUGCUUGAGCCCACCUCCCCGGUCCUUGGCAGGAAAUAGCCGCAGAUGAGAACAGAGGCCCAGGAGAGAACAGACCGGAACUAAACGGCCACCGCAACAUCACUGCGGUCCUCCUGAGCUCCAGCCCAGCCCCAGCCGGACCAGAGCCCUGGACCCACACCCCCUCCCCUAGGAGUCCAGGCCAGACAAGGCGGGCCAGCCAGCGAGCCCCACUGAGACUCAGACUCCGACUCUGGCUCCAACCCUGGGGACCCGGACGUUCCAGUCAGCCAGGGUCACCGGGGGGAAACCACAGGCACUCAGAGGCACAACCAGACCCACAGACACGUGUUCACACAUGCCGUCAUUCAGCAGACGCUGCGCACCUGCUGUGUGCCAGGCACUGGGAUUCAGCACUGCACCGGAAGCCAAGCUCCUGCCCUCUUGGAGCUGUUAGAGGGCAGGCAGCCUGCAGACCCAGUUGCUGAUGAAUGAGCUCUUUUUAAACAUGGCGAGAUUAAAGCAGGUAAGGGGCUCCCUCCGCCAGACCAGCCAGGACAGCCUCUCGGGGACCCACACCCACAAGUGAAUAGCUAGGCUGGGGCCCAGGAAGCUGCCUGCCGGGUAAGGGAGAGCGUGCUGGGCUCUCACGUGAACUACGAUGAGGCCUAAGGGGGUUUACGUGCGGGAGAGAUGUGGUCUGGUGAUGCAGGAAACGCCAAGAUGGUUAGUUUAGAGCUGUCAGGAUUUAGACGAACACACCAGGGAAAUGGACAGAGUUCUGAGAUGCUCCCCAGGGCACCCAGCCCGUUUCCUCCCCAAGAGUGUGACCAAGUUUCCUCCCCAAGAGUGUGACCAACCUCGGAGGGAUAGCCCUUCGCACCCACGUGACAGACAGUGACUGCAAGUUGCUCCCUGAGGCAGAGUAUGCAUCUAGGCGGCUGAAAAGCCUCAGCUUCUCUCACCCCGCUGGGCUGUGAAAGGGCCCAUGGGGUUGACCAAGUGCAAAACCCUGAGGCCCCAGCCACCACCACCCCACACCCCCGCCCCCGCAAGAAGAAAGUGGAUCUCAGUCCUACAACCGCAAGGAACUGGAACGGAUUAUGCCACCCACCAGAUUAGCCUGGAAGAGGACCCCAGGUGAGGACGCAGCCCUGCCGACACAGGUUUCACCUGGUGAGACCCUGGGCCGAGCUCCCAGCAAACUCACAUCCAGACGCGUGCCCCAUGCAAGCCGCGCGGUAAUGAACACGUUGUGGGAAGCUGCUGAAUUUGUGUUGAUUUUUGAUGCAGCAACAGGAGACACAUGCGACUGUCUCCCUGAGCAAAGCAGGGGCAGGACUUAAAAGGACAAAAGCACAGGUCUCAGGGAUGGUGCCUCAUUAGGGACUGGCUUGUGGGUGGGUCGCUGAGCAGCAGGGUCCCCGGGGUGUCCUCGGGAGCUGCACUGACCCACCAUCAUCAGCACGAGGUGAGGCCAGAGCGUGGUGCCGUGUCACAGGCCACGGCACUCGCCAUUUCCCCCUCACGCUGCUUUUCUGCUCAUUCUCACCAGGUCUCGUAGAAGCACCAGGUCACUUGUGAGUGUGUUGGUCCUUCUUCUGGGGACCUGGUGGCCUGCCCGGUGCCAGGGCUCACCCGGUGAGGCAGGGGCUCUGCAGGCCCCGUGUCCGAAGAGCCGGGUGUCCCGUGGAGGCUCUCUUCUCCUUCCGGUGGAGACCACAGGUCAGACAGAGGCUGGGAGAUCAUCAGUCCACUGAGACGCUGAUUCGAAAAUACAGACGAGAAAAUCUGGAAAUAUAGAUCCAUUAUUUCAUGGGCCAGCCCUUUUAUCCUGAGAAAAUGUCAGGGAGCCAAGAUCAAGGAUUUUAGCGGUCGUGGUCAAACCCACAUCAGUGGUUUCCUGCGUGGCAUUAACAGGGUUCAGGCACCCCUCACUGUACUGCGCUUCACAGACCCUGCCCUUUUUACAAACUGAAGUUUUGGGGUGACCCUGUGUCAGGCAAGUCUAUCAGUGCCAUUUUCCCAACAGCGUUUGCUCACUUCAUGUCUCUGUGUCACACUUUGGUAGUUCUCACAUUAUUUCAAACCUUCCACCAGCAAAAAAUUCUGACUCGCUGAAGCCUCAGAUGAUGGUUAGCAUUUCUUGGAGACAAAGUAGUUUUAAAUUAAGGCAUGUAAAAUUAAAAAAAAAAAUUAUGGGACUUCCCUGGUAGUGCAGUGGUUAAGAAUCCACCUGCCAACGCAGGGGACACGGGUUCG